Molecule: ribosomal RNA, 445 nt
Filed under: uncultured bacterium
Lineage: Bacteria
Description: bacterial SSU rRNA
Rfam family: Bacterial small subunit ribosomal RNA
Source: RNAcentral
UGGGGAAUAUUGGACAAUGGGCGCAAGCCUGAUCCAGCCAUGCCGCGUGUGUGAAGAAGGCCUUUUGGUUGUAAAGCACUUUAAGCGAGGAGGAGGCUACUUGGAUUAAUACUCUAGGAUAGUGGACGUUACUCGCAGAAUAAGCACCGGCUAACUCUGUGCCAGCAGCCGCGGUAAUACAGAGGGUGCGAGCGUUAAUCGGAUUUACUGGGCGUAAAGCGUGCGUAGGCGGCUUUUAAGUCGGAUGUGAAAUCCCUGAGCUUAACUUAGGAAUUGCAUUCGAUACUGGGAAGCUAGAGUAUGGGAGAGGAUGGUAGAAUUCCAGGUGUAGCGGUGAAAUGCGUAGAGAUCUGGAGGAAUACCGAUGGCGAAGGCAGCCAUCUGGCCUAAUACUGACGCUGAGGUACGAAAGCAUGGGGAGCAAACAGGAUUAGAUACCCUGGUA